AUGCUGAGGCAGUGCGCAUGCCCAGGGCUGCGAGCCUCCGAACAGUCAUUGGUGUGGGAUGUGUGGGUCGUGUCCCUCCAUUUGGAUUCCUUCUUGCUGUCUGAGACUCAAUUGGCUAAGCAAUCAAGUAAAAAAAAACAUCAGAAGAAAAGGAACCAACAGCCAAGAAUCCAGAUAUUGAGUUUGGACAAGAGAAAGAAGAAGGAGCACAUGUGGUUCAAGGUUGAUGAGGAGAUGGAGAAAAUGUAUUUCAUUUAUGUGGUUAUAUUAGUAACAGAAAUAAAGGGUUUCCUGAAAAUUGGCUGGAAACUUCUUUGGUGAUGGACAGUCAUAAGAAGAAAAGCUGAAGCCACACAACGUUUUGUUUGUUCUAUUGAUAAUUUGGUUUAAAUUUUCUCAAUAAAGAAUUUAAGUUUGCUCA
RNAcentral lists this long non-coding RNA (421 nucleotides) under Vulpes vulpes (red fox). RNAcentral describes it as "lncRNA (ENSVVUG00000018013.1)". The record is from RNAcentral. Lineage: Eukaryota; Metazoa; Chordata; Mammalia; Carnivora; Canidae.